Long non-coding RNA from Schistocerca serialis cubense, 1211 nucleotides. RefSeq lists it as uncharacterized. The transcript has 3 exons. The record is from RefSeq and is a predicted model, not a curated record. Lineage: Eukaryota; Metazoa; Arthropoda; Insecta; Orthoptera; Acrididae.
GGCGGGGUGGGGGUCCUGGAUAAAUUGCUCGAUGUCGUCGUUGAAAGAAAAUAAAGGGAUAAAUAAAUAUGUUGCAAAGUAUAUUCUGCCUGCUUUCAGUCAUUGAAGUGUAUAAUUAAGUUAAGAAAUAGUUUUGUAAGUAAAGUUCUGUAUAGAUUUUACGAAAAGGAGGUAAAAUGCAUGUGCGGCUGCUCGCGGAUUGAGGAACUGUCCUCACAUUUGCUUUACUGAUUUGGGAAAAUCAGAAUUGGAAUGGCUGGACUGUAAUGUCAUACUGUCAAAUACGAGGUAACUCGUAAUACGUAACACAGUUCUGUUCUUCGUCGCCGGACGCGUCGAGGUCACGUGCCGGAGACUCCCAGACUGUGAAGACGCUGCUGUGCUCCUUGCACGAAUUCCAGUCAGUUCAGAAAGCAGAAUCCGUGCUCUUACAUAUUCAUCUAUGCUCCUCAGUCCACGUGAAAAAUUAAGUCAGCAUACACCUAUGAAGAGUGAGAGCUCGAACUCGAGAGAAUGACAAGACAUUACUUCUUGACACAUUAUUUUCUCGUGAAAGCAAUAAACUGUGAUCACAAACUGAAAUGUGACGUGGUAGUUAUCCCCUUUCAUUUCUCUCUGCUGCUCUAAGCCCUCUAAGAAAUCUUUAACUGUGUAGUAUGCAUUACUUAUGACAAAUGUUUAGCUGGCUUUUUUAAACAGAUGUAUUUUACUAAUCUUUUUCAUUCCCUUUGGUGAUUUAUUAUAGAUUUUAAUUCCCUGCUACAAAAUGCUAUUUUGGGUGUUUUGUUUUUGAUAAAUGUAAGUCCAAACUGCCUCUUGUUCCAGGAUUAAGUACAGAACUGUUAAUGAAAUACUGGAUAAUGUUUGCCUUGGAAUGCACCACAGACUAGCAGAUGUACACAAUUGGUGCAGCAACUAUGCCCAAUUUUUUGUAAAUAGCUCUUUACAGUUAACCUGACUAUUAUUGUUACAGCUCUUUUCAGCCGUUUAAAAACUGUGUCUGUGUUUUGUUCCUUCAACGCCCAUAAAAUAAUCGUACACCUAAGAAUUGAAUGCACACAGGCAUUGCCUGUUACAAACUACACUCCUGGAAAUUGAAAUAAGAACACCGUGAAUUCAUUGUCCCAGGAAGGGGAAACUUUAUUGACACAUUCCUGGGGUCAGAUACAUCACAUGAUCACACUGACAGAACCACAGGCACAUAGACACAG